UGAUCCAGCCAUGCCGCGUGCGGGAGAGGCCUUCGGGUUGUAAACCUCUUUUAGCCGGGAAGAAAACGAGCGGGCUAACACUCGGCUGUUCUUGACGGUACCGGCGGAAUAAGCACCGGCUAACUACGUGCCAGCAGCCGCGGUAAUACGUAGGGUGCGAGCGUUAAUCGGAAUUACUGGGCGUAAAGCGUGCGCAGGCGGUUCGUUAAGUCUGAUGUGAAAGCCCCGGGCUCAACCUGGGAAUGGCAUUGGAUACUGGCGGGCUUGAGUGUGGCAGAGGGGGGUGGAAUUCCGUCGUGUAGCAGUGAAAUGCGUAGAGAUGCGGAGGAACACCGAUGGCGAAGGCAGCCCCCUGGGCCGACACUGACGCUCAGGCACGAAAGCGUGGGGAGCAAACAGGAUUAGAUACCCUGGUAGUCCACGCCCUAAACGAUGAUCACUGGGCGUUCGGGGAGCGAUCGCUCGGUCCCGUAGCUAACGCGUGAAGUGUGCCGCCUGGG
This 500-nucleotide ribosomal RNA is filed under the name uncultured bacterium. RNAcentral describes it as "bacterial SSU rRNA". It matches the Rfam family "Bacterial small subunit ribosomal RNA", at positions 384 to 877 of the family's 1533-position model. The record is from RNAcentral.